CCACAAACACUUUCAUACUUAACCAUUUUAAUAACCAUUCAUCAUAAAAUACUUACACCUCAUUCUUUAGCAAAAUCAUAAUUACAAACAUACAAAAUAACUAAAUCCCUAUACAUGCCAUAACCCAAACAUGUUUCAUCAUAAAAUACCGAGUAGUUGUUCUUGAUAGUGUGGACGAUCUCCGACUUCUUUAGGAUCCUUGAAGUAACCUUGCAAUACUAUAAGAGAAUGAGAAAUAAAAGACGUAAGCAUAAAGCUUAGUAAGUUUACUAGCAAAUAAAUAACAAUAUUUAACACAAAUAAUUAAACUCAAGUGUCUAUAUCUCUAUUUUACUCUUUAGUUAAUCUCAUACUAGUUCUCUUGCUUGAUUACUUAAUAUACUUGUGUUCAUAACUUACUCUUCUCUUGCUGCAUCAUUGAAUAUCAAAUGUUAAUAUAAUAAAUUCUUAACUCCUAUAACUCACCUGAGCUUGCCAUUUCUUAUCUUUAACUGAACUUUCAUGUACCUGAUUCGUUUACUAGCCCGUUGAACCACAUUGGAAUAAUAAGGAUACUCGGGUAUCUUCUGAUCAUAACAUGCCAAAGCCAUGUCCCAGACAUGGUCUUACAUGGGAUGUUCUCAUAUCGGUGCCCAUGCCAUGUCCCAGACAUGGUCUUACGGGGGACCUCUCAUCUCGGUGCCAACACCAUGUCCCAGACAUGGUCUUAUAUGGGACCUCUCAUCUCGGUGCCCAUGCCAUGUCCCAGACAUGGUCUUAUAGGGGACCUAUCAUCUCGGUGCCAAUGCCAUGUCCCAGACAUGGUCUUACAUGGGACCUCUCAUCUCGGUGCCAAUGCCAUGUCCCAGACAUGGUCUUAUAUGGGACCUCUUUACCCAAAUGUCAUGACAUUCGUAUCCAGUACCAUCCUUAUGUAUCAACGGGACUUUUAAAUUUUAAUUCUCUAUCAUUUCAUGCUUGGAUAAUCAUCAAAUAAAUUCAUGAAAUAAAUAUAUAAUUUCUGGAAAUUAACAAAAUUAAUAAUAAUUAUUAAAAUAUUGUAUUUAUUUACCGUAAACUUACAUCGGUACCAACUAUAGUCAAAUUCACCAACUUAGUCUUCAACUUUACUCUUUCCUUUGUCUAACCUCGAGUUUCGUUCUUGUUGAUCUAAAAUAGCAAAUUUAAUUAAUUUAAUACUCACAUUCAUCAAAACAGCCCUCGACUCUAACUUUUUCAAAAUUAUGAUUUUGCCCCUAAACUUUUACAUAAUUACAUUUUUUCCCCAAGGCUCGGAAAUUAAACUUCAUCCCUUAUUCUUAUGUUUUAUGACAUGCUGAACAUUUUUCCCUUCUAUGGCAACAUCAAAUUCCCACUCUAACAUGCACUUAAGAACAUUAGGUAUUUUUACCGAUUAUGUCAACUUACUCGCUUUCGCUUAAAAUCGGCUAGCAAAAGUUGUUUAACAUAAUUUCUAGCUUCAUAUUCUAUCAUAAAACAUCAAAAUAAACACUUUUCACCUAUGGGUAUUUUUCCAAAUAUAAACCCUAGGUUAAAUUAUUGCUAGAAUAAGCUAAAUUAAGCUACCGGGACUCCAAAAACGUAAAGAACAUUAAAAAUGGGGCUUGGGAUCACUUACUAUGGAGCUUAGAAGCUUGAAAACCCUAACUAUGGCUUCCCCCCUUGCUGAUU
This 1671-nucleotide long non-coding RNA is filed under the name Gossypium raimondii (Peruvian cotton). Its description in RNAcentral is "long non-coding RNA (GRAI_LNC006671)". Lineage: Eukaryota; Viridiplantae; Streptophyta; Magnoliopsida; Malvales; Malvaceae. The record is from RNAcentral.